RNAcentral lists this ribosomal RNA (2906 nucleotides) under Klebsiella michiganensis. RNAcentral describes it as "23S ribosomal RNA". It matches the Rfam family "Bacterial large subunit ribosomal RNA". Lineage: Bacteria; Pseudomonadati; Pseudomonadota; Gammaproteobacteria; Enterobacterales; Enterobacteriaceae. The record is from RNAcentral.
GGUUAAGCGACUAAGCGUACACGGUGGAUGCCCUGGCAGUCAGAGGCGAUGAAGGACGUGCUAAUCUGCGAAAAGCGUCGGUAAGGUGAUAUGAACCGUUACAGCCGGCGAUGUCCGAAUGGGGAAACCCAGUGCAAUUCGUUGCACUAUCGUUUGAUGAAUACAUAGUCAAACGAGGCGAACCGGGGGAACUGAAACAUCUAAGUACCCCGAGGAAAAGAAAUCAACCGAGAUUCCCCCAGUAGCGGCGAGCGAACGGGGAGCAGCCCGGAGUCUGAAUCAGCUUGUGUGUUAGUGGAAGCGUCUGGAAAGUCGCAGGGUACAGGGUGAUACUCCCGUACACUAAAACACACAGGUUGUGAACUCGAAGAGUAGGGCGGGACACGUGGUAUCCUGUCUGAAUAUGGGGGGACCAUCCUCCAAGGCUAAAUACUCCUGACUGACCGAUAGUGAACCAGUACCGUGAGGGAAAGGCGAAAAGAACCCCGGCGAGGGGAGUGAAAAAGAACCUGAAACCGUGUACGUACAAGCAGUAGGAGCCCACUUGUUGGGUGACUGCGUACCUUUUGUAUAAUGGGUCAGCGACUUAUAUUCUGUAGCAAGGUUAACCGUAUAGGGGAGCCGCAGGGAAACCGAGUCUUAACUGGGCGUUAAGUUGCAGGGUAUAGACCCGAAACCCGGUGAUCUAGCCAUGGGCAGGUUGAAGGUUGGGUAACACUAACUGGAGGACCGAACCGACUAAUGUUGAAAAAUUAGCGGAUGACUUGUGGCUGGGGGUGAAAGGCCAAUCAAACCGGGAGAUAGCUGGUUCUCCCCGAAAGCUAUUUAGGUAGCGCCUCGUGAACUCAUCUUCGGGGGUAGAGCACUGUUUCGGCUAGGGGGUCAUCCCGACUUACCAACCCGAUGCAAACUACGAAUACCGAAGAAUGUUAUCACGGGAGACACACGGCGGGUGCUAACGUCCGUCGUGAAGAGGGAAACAACCCAGACCGCCAGCUAAGGUCCCAAAGUCAUGGUUAAGUGGGAAACGAUGUGGGAAGGCCCAGACAGCCAGGAUGUUGGCUUAGAAGCAGCCAUCAUUUAAAGAAAGCGUAAUAGCUCACUGGUCGAGUCGGCCUGCGCGGAAGAUGUAACGGGGCUAAACCAUGCACCGAAGCUGCGGCAGCGACACUAUGUGUUGUUGGGUAGGGGAGCGUUCUGUAAGCCGUUGAAGGUGGCCUGUGAGGGUUGCUGGAGGUAUCAGAAGUGCGAAUGCUGACAUAAGUAACGAUAAUGCGGGUGAAAAACCCGCACGCCGGAAGACCAAGGGUUCCUGUCCAACGUUAAUCGGGGCAGGGUGAGUCGACCCCUAAGGCGAGGCCGAAAGGCGUAGUCGAUGGGAAACAGGUUAAUAUUCCUGUACUCGGUGUUACUGCGAAGGGGGGACGGAGAAGGCUAUGUUGGCCGGGCGACGGUUGUCCCGGUUUAAGCAUGUAGGCGGAUGUUCCAGGUAAAUCCGGAACGUCACUAACGCUGAGGUGUGAUGACGAGGCACUACGGUGCUGAAGUGACAAAUGCCCUGCUUCCAGGAAAAGCCUCUAAGCAUCAGGUAACAUCAAAUCGUACCCCAAACCGACACAGGUGGUCAGGUAGAGAAUACCAAGGCGCUUGAGAGAACUCGGGUGAAGGAACUAGGCAAAAUGGUGCCGUAACUUCGGGAGAAGGCACGCUGAUGGUAGGUGAAGCGACUUGCUCGUGGAGCUGAAAUCAGUCGAAGAUACCAGCUGGCUGCAACUGUUUAUUAAAAACACAGCACUGUGCAAACACGAAAGUGGACGUAUACGGUGUGACGCCUGCCCGGUGCCGGAAGGUUAAUUGAUGGGGUUAUCCGUAAGGAGAAGCUCUUGAUCGAAGCCCCGGUAAACGGCGGCCGUAACUAUAACGGUCCUAAGGUAGCGAAAUUCCUUGUCGGGUAAGUUCCGACCUGCACGAAUGGCGUAAUGAUGGCCAGGCUGUCUCCACCCGAGACUCAGUGAAAUUGAACUCGCUGUGAAGAUGCAGUGUACCCGCGGCAAGACGGAAAGACCCCGUGAACCUUUACUAUAGCUUGACACUGAACACUGGUCCUUGAUGUGUAGGAUAGGUGGGAGGCUUUGAAGUGUGGACGCCAGUCUGCAUGGAGCCAUCCUUGAAAUACCACCCUUUAAUGGCUGGUGUUCUAACGUGGGCCCCUGAUCGGGGUUGCGGACAGUGUCUGGUGGGUAGUUUGACUGGGGCGGUCUCCUCCUAAAGAGUAACGGAGGAGCACGAAGGUCAGCUAAUCCUGGUCGGACAUCAGGAGGUUAGUGCAAUGGCAUAAGCUGGCUUGACUGCGAGCGUGACGGCGCGAGCAGGUGCGAAAGCAGGUCAUAGUGAUCCGGUGGUUCUGAAUGGAAGGGCCAUCGCUCAACGGAUAAAAGGUACUCCGGGGAUAACAGGCUGAUACCGCCCAAGAGUUCAUAUCGACGGCGGUGUUUGGCACCUCGAUGUCGGCUCAUCACAUCCUGGGGCUGAAGUAGGUCCCAAGGGUAUGGCUGUUCGCCAUUUAAAGUGGUACGCGAGCUGGGUUUAGAACGUCGUGAGACAGUUCGGUCCCUAUCUGCCGUGGGCGCUGGAGAAUUGAGGGGGGCUGCUCCUAGUACGAGAGGACCGGAGUGGACGCAUCACUGGUGUUCGGGUUGUCAUGCCAAUGGCAUUGCCCGGUAGCUAAAUGCGGAAGAGAUAAGUGCUGAAAGCAUCUAAGCACGAAACUUGCCCCGAGAUGAGUUCUCCCUGACUCCUUGAGAGUCCUGAAGGAACGUUGAAGACGACGACGUUGAUAGGCCGGGUGUGUAAGCGCAGCGAUGCGUUGAGCUAACCGGUACUAAUGAACCGUGAGGCUUAACCUU